GACGAACGCUGGCGGCGUGCUUAACACAUGCAAGUCGAACGGAAAGGCCCUGCUUUUGUGGGGUGCUCGAGUGGCGAACGGGUGAGUAACACGUGAGUAACCUGCCCUUGACUUUGGGAUAACUUCAGGAAACUGGGGCUAAUACCGGAUAGGAGCUCCUGCUGCAUGGUGGGGGUUGGAAAGUUUCGGCGGUUGGGGAUGGACUCGCGGCUUAUCAGCUUGUUGGUGGGGUAGUGGCUUACCAAGGCUUUGACGGGUAGCCGGCCUGAGAGGGUGACCGGCCACAUUGGGACUGAGAUACGGCCCAGACUCCUACGUGAGGCAGCGGUGGGGAAUAUUGCACAAUGGGCGGAAGCCUGAUGCAGCAGCGCCGCGUGCGGGAUGACGGCCUUCGGGUUGUAAACCGCUUUCGCCUGUGACGAAGCGUGAGUGACGGUAAUGGGUAAAGAAGCACCGGCUAACUACGUG
This 468-nucleotide ribosomal RNA is filed under the name uncultured bacterium. Its description in RNAcentral is "partial 16S ribosomal RNA". It matches the Rfam family "Bacterial small subunit ribosomal RNA", at positions 28 to 507 of the family's 1533-position model. The record is from RNAcentral.